UACCCUUGACAUGUACGGAAGCCCGAUGAGAGUUGGGUGUGCCCGAAAGGGAGCCGUAACACAGGUGCUGCAUGGCUGUCGUCAGCUCGUGUCGUGAGAUGUUGGGUUAAGUCCCGCAACGAGCGCAACCCUUGCCAUUAGUUGCCACAUUCAGUUGGGCACUCUAAUGGGACUGCCGGUGACAAACCGGAGGAAGGUGGGGAUGACGUCAAGUCCUCAUGGCCCUUAUGGGUAGGG
Molecule: ribosomal RNA, 237 nt
Filed under: uncultured bacterium
Lineage: Bacteria
Description: partial 16S ribosomal RNA
Rfam family: Bacterial small subunit ribosomal RNA
Source: RNAcentral